AGAGUUUGAUCCUGGCUCAGAUUGAACGCUGGCGGCAUGCCUUACACAUGCAAGUCGAACGGUAACAGGUCUUCGGAUGCUGACGAGUGGCGAACGGGUGAGUAAUACAUCGGAACGUGCCCGAGAGUGGGGGAUAACGAAGCGAAAGCUUUGCUAAUACCGCAUACGAUCUCAGGAUGAAAGCAGGGGACCGCAAGGCCUUGCGCUCACGGAGCGGCCGAUGGCAGAUUAGGUAGUUGGUGGGAUAAAAGCUUACCAAGCCGACGAUCUGUAGCUGGUCUGAGAGGACGACCACCCACACUGGGACUGAGACACGGUCCAGACACCUACGGGUGGCAGCAGUCGAGAAUCUUUCACAAUGGGGGCAACCCUGAUGGAGCGACGCCGCGUGGGGGAUGAAUGGCUUCGGCCCGUAAACCCCUGUCAUUUGCGAACAAACCUGGUGGUUGAACAAACUGCCAGCUGAUAGUAGCAAAAGAGGAAGGGACGGCUAACUCUGUGCCAGCAGCCGCGGUAAUACAGAGGUCCCAAGCGUUGUUCGGAUUCACUGGGCGUAAAGGGUGCGUAGGCGGUGGGGUAAGUUUUGAGGUGAAAUCUCCGGGCUCAACCCGGAUAUUGCCUUGAAGACUAUCCUGCUAGAGGAUCGGGAGGGGAGACUGGAAUUCUCGGUGUAGCAGUGAAAUGCGUAGAUAUCGAGAGGAACACCAGUGGCGAAGGCGAGUCUCUGGACGAUUCCUGACGCUGAGGUGCGAAGCGUGAGAGCAAACAGGAUUAGAUCCCCCUGUCAGUCCACGCCCUAAACGAUGAUGCCAGUCGUCCAGCAGCAUGCUUGUCGAUGACCACUAACGAUCAGCAUCCGGCUGAGGAAGUACGGUCGCAAGAUUAUACUGAGAUCGACGCCAGCAGCGUGGACCAGUUUCAUCGAGCAGCGCCAAGAU
This 938-nucleotide ribosomal RNA is filed under the name uncultured bacterium. RNAcentral's name for it is "bacterial SSU rRNA". It matches the Rfam family "Bacterial small subunit ribosomal RNA". The record is from RNAcentral.